AUUGAACGCUGGCGGCACGCCUAACACAUGCAAGUUGAACGGUAGAGGGGGCAACCCCUUGAGAGUGGCGAACGGGUGAGUAAUGCAUCGGAACGUGCCCAGUCGUGGGGGAUAACGCAGCGAAAGCUGUGCUAAUACCGCAUACGAUCUCUGGAUGAAAGCGGGGGACCGAAAGGCCUCGCGCGAUUGGAGCGGCCGAUGUCAGAUUAGGUAGUUGGUGGGGUAAAGGCUCACCAAGCCAACGAUCUGUAGCUGGUCUGAGAGGACGACCAGCCACACUGGGACUGAGACACGGCCCAGACUCCUACGGGAGGCAGCAGUGGGGAAUUUUGGACAAUGGGCGCAAGCCUGAUCCAGCAAUGCCGCGUGCAGGAAGAAGGCCUUCGGGUUGUAAACUGCUUUUGUACGGAACGAAAAGGUCUGGGUUAAUACCCUGGGCACAUGACGGUACCGUAAGAAUAAGCACCGGCUAACUACGUGCCAGCAGCCGCGGUAA
This 496-nucleotide ribosomal RNA is filed under the name uncultured bacterium. RNAcentral's name for it is "partial 16S ribosomal RNA". It matches the Rfam family "Bacterial small subunit ribosomal RNA", at positions 29 to 523 of the family's 1533-position model. The record is from RNAcentral.